Molecule: long non-coding RNA, 802 nt
Organism: Rhagoletis pomonella (apple maggot)
Lineage: Eukaryota; Metazoa; Arthropoda; Insecta; Diptera; Tephritidae
Exons: 2
Source: RefSeq, a predicted model, not a curated record
GAAAGAGAAUAGACAAAAAGGGGCAUAGGAUUCCAUACUUAUCGCAACGAGUACUGAUGCGCUAAUUGCAACUGGCUACAAGCCUUUCGUUACAAAUCUUGCCUAACAUCAUGCAGCAAAGUCUAUGGAAAAGACAAAGCCUACGCACAUUUAAGCAUUUGACAAAAAAUACCGUCUAACUACUUUCGAACACACUAUUGGAUCAGCCCUAGUGUUUUGGACCCACUGAGCUGGCCUUCGUUUUAUACCGUCGAAACAACCUUUCAAGAGGAAUACCGCAGGGGUAUUGUAGGGUUCAUAGUUUUAUUUCACUAAAUGAUUUUUUCUGUUUGUAAAUCAAAAAUAAAAUUUGGUUCUUUCUCAAAUAUUUCUUAAACUGUUGGCAACUGUAUUUUAUUCAAUCUUAAACAGAAUUUCUGAAAAUGCUUGAUAUUUUCACCACUACAAUACAUAUAUAAGUAAAAGAUAUUAGAGGUUUUGUUAUAAUUAAAUUGUUUAUUAAUUUUCAUGUUUCCGGUUUGCAAUCACAUGCGUUACAACAAUGCGAUUGUAACUGAACCAAACAAAAAUCAAAUUAUUAAAAAAAUAAUGUUACCUAUGCGAUUGUGUUGCUUAAACCUAGUUUCUAUUUGUUGAAAUUAAUUUAAAAACGAUCAAGUUAAAUAGUUUCCUCGGUACACAUCUUAUUGCAGUUUUACAAGUUGAAUUUGUUGCUUUCUGUUCUACCCUUUUAAAUUUUUUCUUAUAAACUUACAUGUUAUCUAGCAUUAUAUCAGUUGUCUACAGAUAUAGAAUAGUAUAA